UGCAUCGGCCGGGAAUCGAACCCGGGCCGCCCGCGUGGCAGGCGAGCAUUCUACCACUGAGAAAUGGC
Molecule: transfer RNA, 68 nt
Filed under: Cordylochernes scorpioides
Lineage: Eukaryota; Metazoa; Arthropoda; Arachnida; Pseudoscorpiones; Chernetidae
Description: tRNA-Gly
Source: RNAcentral